UGAGUAACCUGCCCUUAACUCUGGGAUAAGCCUGGGAAACUGGGUCUAAUACCGGAUAUGACUCCUCAUCGCAUGGGUGGGGGGUGGAAAGCUUUAUUGUGGUUUUGGAUGGACUCGCGGCCUAUCAGCUUGUUGGUGAGGUAAUGGCUCACCAAGGCGACGACGGGUAGCCGGCUGAGAGGGUGACCCGGCCACACGUGGGACUGAGACACGGCCCAGACCUCCGUACGGGAGCAG
RNAcentral lists this ribosomal RNA (237 nucleotides) under uncultured bacterium. Its description in RNAcentral is "partial 16S ribosomal RNA". It matches the Rfam family "Bacterial small subunit ribosomal RNA", at positions 118 to 347 of the family's 1533-position model. The record is from RNAcentral.